Molecule: ribosomal RNA, 249 nt
Filed under: uncultured Carnobacterium sp.
Lineage: Bacteria; Bacillati; Bacillota; Bacilli; Lactobacillales; Carnobacteriaceae
Description: partial 16S ribosomal RNA
Rfam family: Bacterial small subunit ribosomal RNA
Source: RNAcentral
UAGGGAAUCUUCCGCAAUGGACGAAAGUCUGACGGAGCAAUGCCGCGUGAGUGAAGAAGGUUUUCGGAUCGUAAAACUCUGUUGUUAGAGAAGAACAAGGAUGAGAGUAACUGCUCAUCCCCUGACGGUAUCUAACCAGAAAGCCACGGCUAACUACGUGCCAGCAGCCGCGGUAAUACGUAGGUGGCAAGCGUUGUCCGGAUUUAUUGGGCGUAAAGCGAGCGCAGGCGGUUCUUUAAGCCUGAUGUG